GCAGUGAUGGUUCAGAUGUUGAAUUCUUGGCUUCCAUGCAGAAGACCCAGGUUCAAUUCCUGGCCGAUGCA
RNAcentral lists this transfer RNA (71 nucleotides) under Loxodonta africana (African savanna elephant). It matches the Rfam family "tRNA". From Rfam's summary of the family: Transfer RNA (tRNA) molecules are approximately 80 nucleotides in length. Their secondary structure includes four short double-helical elements and three loops (D, anti-codon, and T loops). Lineage: Eukaryota; Metazoa; Chordata; Mammalia; Proboscidea; Elephantidae. The record is from Rfam by way of RNAcentral.